This 491-nucleotide ribosomal RNA is filed under the name uncultured bacterium. Its description in RNAcentral is "bacterial SSU rRNA". It matches the Rfam family "Bacterial small subunit ribosomal RNA", at positions 28 to 515 of the family's 1533-position model. The record is from RNAcentral.
GAUGAACGCUAGCGGCAGGCUUAAUACAUGCAAGUCGUGGGGCAGCAUGAGUAGCAAUACUUGAUGGCGACCGGCAAACGGGUGAGGAACACGUACACAACCUUCCUUCAAGCGGGGAAUAGCCCAGAGAAAUUUGGAUUAAUACCCCAUAAUAUAUUUGAUAAGGCAUCUUAUUAAUAUUAAAGCUUCGGCACUUGAUGAUGGGUGUGCGGCUGAUUAGAUAGUUGGCGGGGUAACGGCCCACCAAGUCUACGAUCAGUAGCUGAUGUGAGAGCAUGAUCAGCCACACGGGCACUGAGACACGGGCCCGACUCCUACGGGAGGCAGCAGUAAGGAAUAUUGGACAAUGGACGAAAGUCUGAUCCAGCCAUGCCGCGUGAAGGAUUAAGGUCCUCUGGAUUGUAAACUUCUUUAUAUGGGACGAAAAAGGGCAUUCUUGUUCACUUGACGGUACCAUAUGAAUAAGCACCGGCUAACUCCGUGCCAGCACG